This 253-nucleotide ribosomal RNA is filed under the name uncultured bacterium. RNAcentral's name for it is "partial 16S ribosomal RNA". It matches the Rfam family "Bacterial small subunit ribosomal RNA", at positions 524 to 776 of the family's 1533-position model. The record is from RNAcentral.
UACGGAGGGUACGAGCGUUAAUCGGAAUAACUGGGCGUAAAGGGGACGCAGGCGGGCUUUUAAGUGAGAUGUGAAAACCCCGGGCUUAACCUGGGAAUAGCAUUUCAGACUGGGAGUCUAGAGUACUUUAGGGAGAGGUAGAAUUCCACGUGUAGCGGUGAAAUGCGUAGAGAUGUAGAGGAAUACCGAAGGCGAAGGCGGCGCCUUGGGAAUGUACUGACGCUCAUGUACGAAAGCGUGGGGAGCAAACAGG